This 468-nucleotide ribosomal RNA is filed under the name uncultured bacterium. RNAcentral's name for it is "partial 16S ribosomal RNA". It matches the Rfam family "Bacterial small subunit ribosomal RNA", at positions 28 to 507 of the family's 1533-position model. The record is from RNAcentral.
GACGAACGCUGGCGGCGUGCUUAACACAUGCAAGUCGAACGGAAAGGCCCUGCUUUUGUGGGGUGCUCGAGUGGCGAACGGGUGAGUAACACGUGAGUAACCUGCCCUUGACUUUGGGAUAACUUCAGGAAACUGGGGCUAAUACCGGAUAGGAGCUCCUGCUGCAUGGUGGGGGUUGGAAAGUUUCGGCGGUUGGGGAUGGACUCGAGGCUUAUCAGCUUGUUGGUGGGGUAGUGGCUUACCAAGGCUGUGACGGGUAGCCGGCCUGAGAGGGUGACCGGCCACAUUGGGACUGAGAUACGGCCCAGACUCCUACGGGAGGCAGCAGUGGGGAAUAUUGCACAAUGGGCGGAAGCCUGAUGCAGCAACGCCGCGUGCGGGAUGACGGCCUUCGGGGUGUAAACCGCUGUCGCCUGUGACGAAGCGUGAGUGACGGUAAUGGGUAAAGAAGCACCGGCUAACUACGUG